UUGUGGCUCUACUCACUAUGGAGAAGAGAGAAUAUGAAUCUAAAAUUAAGAGUAAAUUGGCUCAACAUUAAUAACAAACUCAGCGAAAUUUCACUUAAGAUCUUCUCUAUAUAUGGAAACUAUGUAUGAGACAUGAAUCUAUUUUUGUGAAGAAGUUGAUCACAAAAAGGAUGAGAACAUCAAUGAAACUUGUGUUUGAAGGAAUUGGCAUGCUUAUUCUUGUAUGGUAAGUUGUUUUGUGUUAGUACCAUCUGUAUCUUUUCUUAUUUGACUUGCUCUUCUAAUGUUUGCAUUUGGUUUUGAAAUUGUUUGUUAAAGAAUUUGGCUAUUAGUUUGGUUUUCAAAAACACUUGUGCUAUAAUGGGUUUAGUUCUUGCAAAAUUUAUUUUUAAUAUUUGUGGGUUUGGAUUUGGAAUCUUUUAAUUCUAUGUUAGAUAUUCUAAAUAAAUCCUAAAUUAAACCAAAAUCAAAUCUACUAAGGGUAAUAAAAGAUAUUCAAUUCAAUUCAAUUGUACUAUGAAUGAAAAUAAUGUUGGAUAUCUAUUUUUUAGUUUUUUCAUGGCUUAGAACAUAACUUAUUUUUCUUUUAGUGUUUAGUCAUAAAUAAUAAUACAUUCGUUCCAGUUUAUAUGAACAUAUUUUCUUUUUAAUCCGUUUAAAAAAGAAUGACCCCUUUUUAAAUUUGGAAAUAAUUUUGCUUAAACUUACAAUUCUAUCGUUAAUGAGAAGCUUUUAUAACCACACAAAUACUCUUUGCCCCUUUUUGAAUUGUUUAGGACCACAAAUUUCAAAAGUUUUUAUUUUUUCUUAAAUUUCGUGCUCAGACAAACAUGCUCACAUAAAUUGAAACAGAGGGAGUAGUAUUUAUUAGUCGUACUUAUUUUAGCAACUUAUUAGUAAUUUUAAAUUAUGUUUGUUUUUAUUAUGGCUUAUUAAUAAUAUUUAUUUUAUGCGAUUUUCUCAUCUUUAUUUUGGAUAUUUUAGUACAAUGCCAUGAAUCAUCUCAUAUUUAUGUUAUUUUAUUAAAAAACACCUUAUAUAGUUCUGUCUUACUAGGAUUAAAGAAAUAUUUGGAGCAUAAAUUCUAUGUUUUGUGCUACGAAGACUUUAUGGAAAGAAAAACCGAAACAACCCAAAAAUCCGAAAUAUCCAAGAUUUAAAACCCCGACUUUGAUUAGUUUGGUUUGAUCUUUAAAUUUAAUAAUCCGAUAUAAUUAAUUUGGUUUGAUAAUUAAAAAAUUCAAACCAAUUCGACCUAUGUACGCGCCUCACAGUUAUUAGUGUUGAUGGUGGUUGAUAGUGUUACAGUGCGCUGGAGGCUAGUAAUAGAGGUUGUUGGUGAUAGUGACAAUUUGAUAACGCUUGAUGAUUGAUACUCUUUAUUUUUUUAAAGUGUUAGAGUUCUCUUGAGAUAUCUUGAUUAGUUCACCAAAUAUCUAGUACCUUUAAUUAAUAUUUAUAUUGUUGGCUUUAGCCAUCAAUUAAACAAAUGAAAAGAAAUACUUCAUCUCCUUAUUUCUUCUGCUGUACGCCACACUUGUAGUCUUGUUGAUGAGACGAUGAUGGUGUCUUACCAGAGUAACAUAAUCUUACAUACUACUUUACAUAUUAAGUGGGUGUUUGGACAUAAGAAUUGUAAAAUUUCAAAAAAAAUAAAUUUUUUUUCAAGUAAAUGUAGUAUUUGGAAAUUAGAGUUGUGUUUGAACAUGAAUAUAAGUUUGGGUUAUUUUUGAAUUUUUGUGAGUGAUCUGAGUGAAAAAUUUCGAAAAAUAGUUUUUUUGGAGUUUUUUAAAUUUUUCGAAAAAUUCCAAAAUUUAUCUUCAAGUGAAAAUUGAAAAUUUUAUGGCCAUUUCGAAAAUAAGUGAUUUUUUCCCGAAAAUAAGCGAAAACAAUUUCAUGGCCAAACGGGCACUAAGACUUGUCACGUGUAAUUGAACUAAUCGCCAGUUUGACCAAAUACAAUUUUUUUUUUUGCUAAAAGUAUUUUUUUUUUUGAAAGUUAUGUUUGGCCAAGUUUCUAGAAGGACCGGUUUCUAGAAGCAAAAAAAGGUACUUCUUCCCAAAAUAUUUUUUUGAAAAAAUACUUUUGAGAAAAAUACAUUUAAAAAUGCUAUUUAAAAGCGUGAUCAAAUACUAAUUGAUAUUCAAAAAUAUUUUUUAGAUUAAUUAGUCAAACACAAUCUACUUUUAUCAAAAAUAAUUUUAGAAAAAUUAAUUUUCAAAAUAAACAGAUUGAUGUAGGUCCAUCAGUGGUGAUUGAUGUUGGUCCAUAGGUAACUCUGUCCUUUUCCUUGAACAGAUAGCCCUAUGGUUGUUUGAUAUUUGGGGAGGAAUUAAAAAAUAGUUAGAUUUAUAAGUGGUAAUUGAAAAAUAGUUAAAGUUUCAAAAGUAAUUAAAAUUUAGUCACUUUUUAUGUAAAGAUAAAUUUGAACGAAAAUACUGUUCAAAAUUCGGAAAAUAUUCCAGCAUAAUAUAUUGGAGUUCGAAUUUUUUACAUUUGGAGUUUCAGCAUAAUAUACUUGUGUUCCAGCAUAAUAUACUGGAGUUCCAGCAUAAUAUACUGGUCCAGCAUAAUAUGCUGGAAGUUCAUACAUAUGUGUUCCAAUCUUCAGUAUAUUAUGCUAGAACUUUUUGUGUGCUAGAGUUCCAGCAUAAUAUGCUGGAAGUUCAUACACAUGUGCAUUAAUCUCCAGUAUAUUAUGCCAGAACUUUCCGUACUGUAGCAAAAUAAUAUUGGCUAUUUUUAAAUAAAUUUGUAAGUGCUGUUUAUUUUCAAUUACUAAUCCGAAAACUGACUAACCAGCGUUAUUUUCACGAUAUUUGGCCUGGUAUCAUGGUCCAACUUUUCCUGAAUUGGACUUUCGUCUCUAAGCUAUCACAUGCCUUGAGCUGGAAUACCCGGCAAAUAUGUACGUAAUAGGCAUUUUCUUCGUCCCAUUUUCUGUAUCAUACUUUUUUUUUUCCAAUCUCAAUGAAUAAUAAAUUUCUAUUUUCAAAACGAUCUAACUUUAAAUAUCAGUUUGCUUUUAACGAGUUUUAGCUACACAAAUGCACAUUGGGACGUGCUUUAGACCAAAUUUUUUUAUAAAAAAAUCUUAAGCAUCAUGCCUAAUAAAUACUUUUUUUUUUUGGUAACAUUGUGAAUAUUAUCAUUGAUCAACCAAAUGAUUAUACAUAUUAAGCAUUUUACAUCAUAAUCACCUCCUCAAAGGUUCUAUGAAUGCUCCAUCUCAACACUAUCUAUACAUCAAUGAUAUUCCUCAAGAAUUCCCUACAGCUAUUUGCCUUGACUUAUGAAUAUUACUUAAUCUAACUAAUGUUUCCUGCUUAAUCUGUUCUGUAGUAUCUGCACUAUUUACAUUAGCUCCUUUAAAGUUCUUUCAAUUUCUUGCCUUUCAUAUAUGAUAGAAGUCAACUCCCAUUGUUGAUGCAACUCUUUCUUUCUUUAACUGUUUCCAUUUCUUCUUUUUGAUGUUAUUCAUUGUGCUCGCUAUGUCUCCUUCUUGCAAUUGUACACCAAGCCAUCUCAGCAUCUCAGCACGAACAUUCUUUAUCCAGUUGCAUUCUACAAAUAAAUGCUGACUUGUUUCAGUUUUUUAUUCAUCACAUAAACAACACUCCACAUUGUCUACAUGAAUCUGCAACUUCACCAGCCUUUUCUUUGUUAGUAGUCUCCUUUGAGCUCUCGGCCACACAAAAAACCUUUGUUUUGGCUGUGCUACACUACUCCAUAUCAAAUUUGCUAUAUGCAGUCUUUGCAUUUCCCCUAGCAGUGCAAUAUAACUCCUAGUUAUUGAGUAACCACCACCCUUUCCCAAGUUGUACACUCCUUGUUCAUACCAUCUAUUCAUGUCCUCCUUUAAAGAGUUAAUCUUCUUUCAAUACCAACUACAAUCAGUUGGUAUCUUAUGAGUCCAAAUGUUAGUAUCAGUUUUCAUAUAUAGUCCGUGCACCCACUUCACCCAUAGAGCUUCUUUGUUAUUGAGUAGCUGCCAUAAUAAUUUCCCCACUGAUGCCACAUUCCAUAGUUUACUUCCUUUAACAUUCAGCCCACCAAAUUUCUUAGGAAAACAUACUCUUUCCCAUGCCACUAAGGCCAGUUUCCUCUUGUUUUCAAUACUCCCCCAAAGGUAGUCCCUACAUAUGUUGUCAACCUUUUUUACCACAACCUGAGGUAGGAUGAAUACAGAGCUUCAGAAGUUGUAGAUGGAGAACAUCACAGAAUUUACCACCUGCAAUCUGCCUGCAUAUGACAGCUGCUUAGAGUAUCAAGUUUUUAUCCUGCUGGUUAUUCUGUCUACCAACUGACAUCAAUCCAAUUUAUUCCAUUUCUUAGAUGAAAGGGGAAGUCCAAGAUAUCUAGUUGGGAAGGAACCUUGAGUAAAACCUGUUUUUGCUAAUAACUGCUCCUUUGUUAAGUCAUCCACCCUAGCAAUGAAAAUAUUGGAUUUAUCUUGUCUUGGUUAGCAAUUAAUCAUGAUGCCUCACUAAAGUGAUUCAAAGCUUCUACCACCCUAUUAAGUGAUGCCAGAUUGCCUUUUCAGAAGAUCAUAAGAUCAUCUGCAAAGAUCAAGUGAGUUAACUUUAGUUGCUUGCACAUGGGGUGAAACCGAAA
This 4615-nucleotide long non-coding RNA is filed under the name Nicotiana tabacum (common tobacco). RNAcentral describes it as "long non-coding RNA (NTAB_LNC005015)". Lineage: Eukaryota; Viridiplantae; Streptophyta; Magnoliopsida; Solanales; Solanaceae. The record is from RNAcentral.